CAGACCCCCCAACCCCCAGCAAGGAACAGCAGCUUCCACAGUUGCUACAAUGUUUGGAGAGAAACCUUAGAAGACGUUUUCUUCCUCUGGGUGGCUUCUGAUCUCCCAGGAAUGUUUUCAUUGGCAGGAUGUAAUAAGAACCCAGCUGCGAAAGGAUUCUAGAAAAUGUAGUUGGCAGACUCCUGGGCCCAGAAGAAUGAAGCAUGGGAUGGCGGAUGUAGAGCUGAGCUAUGAGCAGGAAACCCUGCCAUGGAGCUGAAGUUGGUGGUCACCAUCAGGAACGGAUGGUAGAGAGUGAGGAAGGAAAUCAGCAUCCUGCCACAGGAUUCUUGUGGAAAGUCACCCAGUGUUUGGAUGGUCUUGUCUGCCCCCAAAGGCACAAAGCAACAGAAGUGCAAGAGUCCUGAAACCCCGAACUACAUCACACCUUGCUCCUUAUAAUUGAUCUCAAGUCUCUUCUCACCAUGAUGGACAAACGCCCUGCUCUACACUUCCGAAAAACCCUAUGAAUGGGACUCCAAAAAGGAAGCUUGCAAGUAGGCUGAACCUGUAAGCUGGUCAUUUGAUUAUUCUGGUGGAAUUAAUCUCUCUUGAAAUUUCAAAUGUAUUAAUUAAAUACAACUCAGUUGUGUUCACGAGUGUUUU
This is a long non-coding RNA of Mastomys coucha (southern multimammate mouse), 645 nucleotides long. RefSeq lists it as uncharacterized. The record is from RefSeq and is a predicted model, not a curated record. NCBI's taxonomy places the organism in Eukaryota, Metazoa, Chordata, Mammalia, Rodentia, Muridae. The transcript has 3 exons.